Molecule: non-coding RNA, 438 nt
Organism: Pelobates cultripes (western spadefoot toad)
Lineage: Eukaryota; Metazoa; Chordata; Amphibia; Anura; Pelobatidae
Source: the annotation of a GenBank genome assembly
AUGCAAAGUAUGGUGUGUGUGAAUGGUCAGUAACAAGGGUUGAAGCCUUGACGUGGCGUUACUGCUCACAUGUGUAUUCAUGUGCCAAUUCAACCAAUGUGAGUCACUGUAAUACUUAUAAGGUAACCAAAAGUACUGUGAUUGUGGAGAAUGAAACACCUGUAUCACCUACACGCUGUUUACACUGUGACCGUAUCUCCUACACACUGCUUACACUGUGACCGUAUCUCCUACACACUGCUUACACUGUGACCGUAUCUCCUUAACACUGCUUACAUUGUGACCGUAUCUCCUACACACUGCUUACACUGUGACCGUAUCUCCUACACACUGCUUACACUGUAACCGUAUCUCCUAAACACUGCUCAUACUGUGACCGUAUCUCCUAAACACUGCUUACAUUGUGACCGUAUCUCCUACACACUGCUUACACUGUGA